This 506-nucleotide ribosomal RNA is filed under the name uncultured bacterium. RNAcentral's name for it is "partial 16S ribosomal RNA". It matches the Rfam family "Bacterial small subunit ribosomal RNA", at positions 29 to 523 of the family's 1533-position model. The record is from RNAcentral.
AGUGAACGCUGGCGGUAGGCCUAACACAUGCAAGUCGAACGGCAGCACAGAGGAGCUUGCUCCUUGGGUGGCGAGUGGCGGACGGGUGAGGAAUACAUCGGAAUCUACUCUGUCGUGGGGGAUAACGUAGGGAAACUUACGCUAAUACCGCAUACGACCUACGGGUGAAAGCAGGGGACCUUCGGGCCUUGCGCGAUUGAAUGAGCCGAUGUCGGAUUAGCUAGUUGGCGGGGUAAAGGCCCACCAAGGCGACGAUCCGUAGCUGGUCUGAGAGGAUGAUCAGCCACACUGGAACUGAGACACGGUCCAGGCGCCUACGGGAGGCAGCAGUGGGGAAUAUUGGACAAUGGGCGCAAGCCUGAUCCAGCCAUACCGCGUGGGUGAAGAAGGCCUUCGGGUUGUAGAGCCCUUUUGUUGGGAAAGAAAUCCAGCUGGCUAAUACCCGGUUGGGAUGACGGUACCCAAAGAAUAAGCAUCGGCUGACUUCGUGCCAGCCGCCGCGGUAA